Tachysurus vachellii is the source of this 426-nucleotide long non-coding RNA. RefSeq lists it as uncharacterized. The record is from RefSeq and is a predicted model, not a curated record. The transcript is spliced from 3 exons. NCBI's taxonomy places the organism in Eukaryota, Metazoa, Chordata, Actinopteri, Siluriformes, Bagridae.
GAGAAGUACGUGCACGCAGUUCCUAUCAGUUAUUGAUUCUGUCGUUCAUACCUUGGAAAUAUAUGUCUAGUGUCACAGACAGAAGACAACGGAGACAGAGAUAACGUCAAAAUAACAGAGUUUAUUGACAAUGGAUGGUGAAAUGAAGUGAGCGAGGGUGCAACAGUGCUGGUGAAGCUCCAACACACACACACAGAAUCACUGGAAGCAGACCCACGAGGAUUAGUUCCUUGGAUGGACGAUGAACUUGGAGAACUACUGAAUAAAGAGAGAUAAAGAGUCAGAGCCACUGGAAGAGACAGAAGUUGACACUCCCUGAUACUGCUGUGCCCUGCCAGGCUCCUGGGUCAUGCCUCAUUUACUGCACAGAGCACACACAAGGACACGCACAAAGACAAACUUGUCCUGCCUUCACCUGCACUUUUA